RNAcentral lists this long non-coding RNA (3014 nucleotides) under Sus scrofa (pig). Its description in RNAcentral is "lncRNA (ENSSSCG00015027645.1)". Lineage: Eukaryota; Metazoa; Chordata; Mammalia; Artiodactyla; Suidae. The record is from RNAcentral.
UAAUCUCCGACGUGGUGUACGGUCAUGUCUGCUGUUUUUUCUUUGUGAGGAGACAGUCAUGAAGCCCAGCCCACACCCAGGAGGAGGGAAGGUGCGAGUCCAGCCCUGUCCUUACGACCAGACAUUCAUCCCCCACCUGCCUGCUCCAACCCUGGGAUUCUGGAACAGAACAUUUUAACAUAAAAGAACUGAAGUGGAUCUAUGGAAGGCAGCAUAUAUGUGGAUCUUAUUUUUGUACCCAUUCAGCCAGUCUACAUCUUUUGGUUGGGUCCUCUAAGAAAGAAGAAGAAGGAAACAGUGCACAUUUGUCCCUGGUACUGCCAUGUCCUGCUGCUCCACAAAACUGGUGGUCUUCUUCCUUACUUGGAUCGGGCAGCUGAGCCAGGGGAACAAGGAAUUCCAGAGAUGACAUGAACACACUUGGCAUUUGGUGAUUGGCUGGCGUCCUCCUCUGAUCUCUGAGAAGAGCUGUAAAAUCCUUCACCUUUGUUAGACCUGAAACCACAUCCAUACCCUAAGCUUUAACUGUGACAAUGCCAGAUCCUUAAUCCACCGUGGCGAGCCAGGGAUCGAACCUGUGUCCCAACAAACCUGCAUCCCAGUAUUCCCAAGACACUGCUGAUCUUGUUGUGCUACAGUGGGAACUCCUGAAGAGGCUAUUUAGAUAAAGGAUCUGGAGAGGGAAGAUCAUCCUGGAUUAUGUGAAUGGGCUCUGUUUAAUCACAUGAGUCUUUAAAAGUGGAAGAGCAGAAGGCAGAAGGGUGUGUUAGAAUGAUGCUCUGUGAGAAGGACCUGCUGCCACGGGCUUUGAAGGCGGAGGCAGGGGACCAUGAGCCAAGAAACACGGCCACCUCCACAAGCGGUGCAUGGCCCUCAGCUUACAGUUGGUAAGAACUCAAGGACUGUGGUCCUAUGCCUGAAAGGGACUGAAUUCUUCCAAUAACUAGAAUGAGCAGAAAGCAUUCUUCCUCAGAGCCUCCAGGAAGGAACACAGCCUACAACUUGAUUUUAGUCUGCUGAGAACCGUGCUGAAUUCCUGACCUCCAAAUCUGCAAAAUAAUAAGUUUUUUUUGUCUUAAGCCACUAAGUUUGUAAUAAUUUGCUGUGGCAACAGUAGAAAACUAACACCCUGAGAUAGAGAUAAAAUUUGUUAAUAUCAUAUAGCCAAUAAGACUAUACCUUUUGACUUUUUUUCUCCCCAGAUAGAUGUCUACACGGUGCAUUUAACUUUGUAAAUGUAUGAUUUUUUAACUAAGAGUAAACAGCCAAGUCAAACACAAGUGUAUUACUCUAGAUAAUUAAACAAUUUUUGAGUGCAUAUGUUAAACCAUGUCCCAGUGGACAUUGAAAACACAUCCUACAUUUUUGCCUUAUUUCCAAGUUUAAUUGUUUUGUUUUUCUUUGCAGGUGAAACGGGAAAUAUCAUUUCAUUUUAUAAACAAUAAGCUCCAUAAGGGCAUCACCUUAUUUCUCUUGGCUGAUGUCAUCUUAUCACAAUACUUGACACAUAGCAGGUGCUAAAUGAAUGUUUGUUGAAUGGGUAAAGAAAUGCUUGCAACCUCAUCACUAAUUAUUUCCUCCUAUGAAAUCUGUGAUUCACCCACACUGAAUUCCUUCAGUUCUUUUAAUAUAAACCAACCAUGUUCUCUCUCACCAUGAGAUUUGUGCAUUUGCUUUUCUUUCUGCCUGGCACCUACACCCCCACUCAGCUUGGCUAACAAGCAGUCAUAUGUUAGGUCUUAGCUUAGACAUGACCCCCUCUGGGAAGUAGUGUCUUGUCACCUCAUCUUCCCACCUGUGACUCUUUCUGCUCUUAGAGCUUCUGUAUUUAAUGCCAUAGCCCUUAAUACAUUGUAUCUGUCUUGUAUGAGCCCCCAUGGAUGGUCUAAUGCAUCGAACUUUAAUAAUUUAGCAUCAGCUCCAGAGUCAGACUGCAUUGAUACACAUCCUGUCUCCACAACUGACUAGUUGUAUUAUUUUAGGUAAGUUAGAUCUUUUUGUGACUCAAUUUUCUCAUCUGUAAAAUGGGGAUAAUAUUAAUAUCUCCACUGCAUACACUGUGGUGAGAAUUAAAUGUUAAGGGCUUAGAAGAGAGCCUGGUGUAUGGCUAGUACAUGGGAAGCCAUUGUUUUUUAAAUUCCUUGAAAUCAGGAGCACAAACUGUUCACUAUUGUCCUCUGUUUCUGAUGCAGAAUGCUUGAUACUGAGCAAGUGCUCAAGAUCCUUUGGUGACUUGAAUAGAAUUGUGACCCAGUGAGAAGCAUCCUUUUAUCAGACCUGAACUGGAGAUAAAAGAGCAAUGUCUUGAGUGAGAUGAGCUACCCAGAGAGGCUCAACACUAAAGCUAGGAGAGUGCUUCUCCCUAAAAUGUCUGGAAGGCAAAGUGCUGGCCAUGUUGCUCCCUGGAGAAGGCUAUGGAGUCGAGCCUUCUGAUAUAUAAGCGUCGUCACAUCUCAGAUGCAUCAGCCUAGUCCCAAAACAGACAUGGGUUUUAGUAAUGGCAGACCUUCCAUCCCUACCUCCCCCCACCCCACCCACACGCCCCUUCCUCCACCCCAUCCCUGUUCUCCCUGGAUCAGGAAAUUCUCCGCCAGCUUUGAGUCCCAUUACAUUGACCCCAGGGGAUCAGCCCUUGCCGUUUGUUCUGUCUUUUAAAUUUUAUUGGGGUAGAAUUGAUUUACAAUGUUGUAUUAGCUUCAGGCUUAUAGCAAAGUGAAGCGGUUCUGCAUAUACAUACAUCCAUGCUUUCUUCCCAUAUAGGUUAUUACAGAGCGAUGGAUCAGCCUUUGAAUUUCCCUGCAAGGAAUGUCCUGCUGCACGGAGCGCUGUCUGCUCUUUUGUCAUCUUUGCUGCCUCCCUCCCAACCUUCCUUCCUUGAAAAGGCCCACCUUGGCUUCCAUUUCCAAAGAAUCUUGAAGCAGCUUGCCGGUGAGUGGUUGAGCUACUUCCUCCCUAUCUGGUAUGUGGUUUAAUGUGUUCUACCUACCAGGUGAUGUGGUCCUGCUUUACCAGGG